Molecule: ribosomal RNA, 253 nt
Filed under: uncultured bacterium
Lineage: Bacteria
Description: partial 16S ribosomal RNA
Rfam family: Bacterial small subunit ribosomal RNA
Source: RNAcentral
UACGUAGGGUGCAAGCGUUGUCCGGAAUUAUUGGGCGUAAAGAGCUCGUAGGCGGUUCGUCGCGUCUGCUGUGAAAACCCGAGGCUCAACCUCGGGCCUGCAGUGGGUACGGGCAGACUAGAGUGCGGUAGGGGAGAUUGGAAUUCCUGGUGUAGCGGUGGAAUGCGCAGAUAUCAGGAGGAACACCAAUGGCGAAGGCAGAUCUCUGGGCCGUAACUGACGCUGAGGAGCGAAAGCAUGGGGAGCGAACAGG